This 497-nucleotide ribosomal RNA is filed under the name uncultured bacterium. RNAcentral describes it as "partial 16S ribosomal RNA". It matches the Rfam family "Bacterial small subunit ribosomal RNA", at positions 28 to 507 of the family's 1533-position model. The record is from RNAcentral.
GAUGAACGCUGGCGGCGUGCCUAAUACAUGCAAGUCGAGCGAACAGACGAGGAGCUUGCUCCUCUGACGUUAGCGGCGGACGGGUGAGUAACACGUGGAUAACCUACCUAUAAGACUGGGAUAACUUCGGGAAACCGGAGCUAAUACCGGAUAAUAUAUUGAACCGCAUGGUUCAAUAGUGAAAGACGGUUUUGCUGUCACUUAUAGAUGGAUCCGCGCCGCAUUAGCUAGUUGGUAAGGUAACGGCUUACCAAGGCAACGAUGCGUAGCCGACCUGAGAGGGUGAUCGGCCACACUGGAACUGAGACAUGGUCCAGACUCCUACGGGAGGCAGCAGUAGGGAAUCUUCCGCAAUGGGCGAAAGCCCGACGGAGCAACGCCGCGUGAGUGAUGAAGGUCUUCGGAUCGUAAAACUCUGUUAUUAGGGAAGAACAAAUGUGUAAGUAACUAUGCACGUCUUGACGGUACCUAAUCAGAAAGCCACGGCUAACUACGUG